UAAUAGAUACCCCGGUAGUCCACGCCGUAAACGAUGAGUGCUAAGUGUUAGAGGGUUUCCGCCCUUUAGUGCUGAAGUUAACGCAUUAAGCACUCCGCCUGGGGAGUACGGUCGCAAGACUGAAACUCAAAGGAAUUGACGGGGGCCCGCACAAGCGGUGGAGCAUGUGGUUUAAUUCGAAGCAACGCGAAGAACCUUACCAGGUCUUGACAUCCUCUGACAACCCUAGAGAUAGGGCUUCCCCUUCGGGGACAGAGUGACAGGUGGUGCAUGGUUGUCGUCAGCUCGUGUCGUGAGAUGUUGGGUUAAGUCCCGCAACGAGCGCAACCCUUGAUCUUAGUUGCCAGCAUUUAGUUGGGCACUCUAAGGUGACUGCCGGUGACAAACCGGAGGAAGGUGGGGAUGACGUCAAAUCAUCAUGCCCCUUAUGACCUGGGCUACACACGUGCUACAAUGGACGGUACAAAGAGUCGCAAGACCGCGAGGUGGAGCUAAUCUCAUAAAACCGUUCUCAGUUCGGAUUGUAGGCUGCAACUCGCCUA
This 542-nucleotide ribosomal RNA is filed under the name uncultured bacterium. RNAcentral describes it as "bacterial SSU rRNA". It matches the Rfam family "Bacterial small subunit ribosomal RNA", at positions 776 to 1318 of the family's 1533-position model. The record is from RNAcentral.